RNAcentral lists this transfer RNA (86 nucleotides) under Bacteroidales bacterium. RNAcentral's name for it is "tRNA-Leu". It matches the Rfam family "tRNA". Rfam says of the family: Transfer RNA (tRNA) molecules are approximately 80 nucleotides in length. Their secondary structure includes four short double-helical elements and three loops (D, anti-codon, and T loops). RNAcentral also lists the same sequence under 1 other name. Lineage: Bacteria; Pseudomonadati; Bacteroidota; Bacteroidia; Bacteroidales. The record is from RNAcentral.
GCUCGGGUGGCGGAAUUGGUAGACGCCCAGGACUUAAAAUCCUGUGAACAGAAAUGUUCGUACGGGUUCGAUUCCCGUCCCGAGCA